UACAGAGGUCCCAAGCGUUGUUCGGAUUCACUGGGCGUAAAGGGUGCGUAGGUGGCGAGGUAAGUCGGAUGUGAAAGCUCGGAGCUCAACUCCGAAAUGGCAUUGGAAACUACCUGGCUUGAGGGUUGGAAGGGGGACUGGAAUUCUCGGUGUAGCAGUGAAAUGCGUAGAUAUCGAGAGGAACACCAGUGGCGAAGGCGACUCUCUGGUCUGUAACUGACGCUGAGGAGCGAAAGCGUGGGAAGCAAACAGG
RNAcentral lists this ribosomal RNA (253 nucleotides) under uncultured bacterium. RNAcentral describes it as "partial 16S ribosomal RNA". It matches the Rfam family "Bacterial small subunit ribosomal RNA", at positions 524 to 776 of the family's 1533-position model. The record is from RNAcentral.